UGGAUAUAUUCUUACUUUGGAGUGUCCAAGGUAUUUGAAGAAGAAGGAAGAUAUCAGCCUCCAAGUUUCUUGCAAACUAGCACUUCCAAAGAUCCUGAUCUACAUCAGUUUUUGUACGAAUUUUUUAUAGAGGCUGGAUGACUUCGUGUGGCUGUGAGAAACCUGAAGGAGAGCUCUCCAAGCAUUGGACUAGAAGAGAUCAAGAGAUUUCAAUUUGGUAAUGAUUUCUAAACUUUCUUGAUCAUGUGUGUUAGAUCUAAUAGUUAGAUCUUCAUAGCAGCAUCGAUUAGAUC
Molecule: long non-coding RNA, 293 nt
Filed under: Elaeis guineensis (African oil palm)
Lineage: Eukaryota; Viridiplantae; Streptophyta; Magnoliopsida; Arecales; Arecaceae
Description: long non-coding RNA (EGUI_LNC063073)
Source: RNAcentral